RNAcentral lists this ribosomal RNA (292 nucleotides) under uncultured bacterium. Its description in RNAcentral is "partial 16S ribosomal RNA". It matches the Rfam family "Bacterial small subunit ribosomal RNA", at positions 505 to 796 of the family's 1533-position model. The record is from RNAcentral.
GUGUCAGCAGCCGCGGUAAUACGUAGGGUGCGAGCGUUGUCCGGAAUUAUUGGGCGUAAAGGGCUCGUAGGCGGUUUGUCGCGUCGGGAGUGAAAUCAUCUGGCUUAACUGGGUGCUUGCUUUCGAUACGGGCAGACUAGAGGUAUGCAGGGGAGAACGGAAUUCCUGGUGUAGCGGUGAAAUGCGCAGAUAUCAGGAGGAACACCGGUGGCGAAGGCGGUUCUCUGGGCAUGAUCUGACGCUGAGGAGCGAAAGUGUGGGGAGCGAACAGGAUUAGAAACCCCCGUAGUCC